This 4745-nucleotide long non-coding RNA is filed under the name Sus scrofa (pig). RNAcentral's name for it is "lncRNA (ENSSSCG00000052173.1)". Lineage: Eukaryota; Metazoa; Chordata; Mammalia; Artiodactyla; Suidae. The record is from RNAcentral.
ACAAAAGCCUCUCAGACUUAUAGUGGGAGAGAGACCUGCAAUCAACAACUACUCCUGUGGAGUUCCCGCUGUGGCUUACCGGGAUCUGCAGUGUGGAAAGUGCUGGGAUACAGGUUUGAUCCCUGGCCUAGCACAGUGGGUUAAGGAUCCAGUAUUGCUGUAGCUUCGGCUUUGAUCUCAACUGUGGCUUGGAUCUGAUCCCUGACCCAGGAACUCUCUAUGCUGCAGGGCAGCCAGAAAUGGAAAAAAUACAAAGCAAAACAAACAACUACACAUGUAAUAGGGAGUUCCCGGAUAGCCUAGUGGUUAAGGUUUCAACAUUGUCGCUGCUGUGGCUUGGGUUGCUGCAAUGGCUGAGGUCUGAUCCCUGGCCAAAGAACUUCAGCAUGCUGUAGGUGUGGCCAAGAAAACCCCCCACACAACUACACGUGUAAUGGGAGGUGAGGAGGCAUCUUUCUGGAGAUUAAUUGGGGAAGUGUGAGAGAGAGCCAACUGCAGGCCAAAGGACAGUGGUAGGUAAAGAGGCAGAGAUGUGUGAGAGCAGGCAGCACUUCAGCUCUGCUAUGAAGUGGUCCUGGAAGGAAGGAAGGCAUCAAGUUAUGAAAGCUACCAUACAUUGUAAUUAAGAUUCUGGAUUUAGUCCUGGAGCUGAUUGGGAGGCAUGAACAGAUGUUAAGUAGAGAAGUGACAUGAUUAAAUUUUCAUUUAAGGAAAAUCAGUCUAGUGUGAACUGCUAGGUAGGGCGUGCUGGCUGAAGACAGGAGGACCAAUCAGAAGGCGGCUGCAUUUAUUUAUGUAAGAUGUGGCAAGGGCCUGCAUCAGAAAUUCCACACGUGCAGAUGGAGCAAGAAAAUGAAUAAUGCUUUUAGGAGACAAACAUCGAAGGAAAAGCAAUUCUUUGGAUGAAGGAAGAAUUUUCAGAGUCAGGAGUUAGAGAGAUUAUACAUGUGCCCUAAACAGCACAAUGGCAAAUAGACCUAUCAGAGAAUUCUGCAAUUCCCAGAGAAGAGAAUUCAACCUCCGGAUUGAAAUGAUCAGCUGGCCAUACCACCCUCCUUGCCCCCAUUCCCUUGGACCUGCCUUUCAGUAAUCCGAACUCCCUAAUCUGCCCUGUGGACUCCCCAGUGACCUGGCACUUGGCACAUCUUUCUUCCAGAAUCAGCUCAGACACUGGUUGCUCUCUGACAAAGAGCCAAUCCCAUCAUCACUCCACAGUCCAGGUUCUACAUUUAUAAACUGUAACAAUAGUGACACUGCUUCCUGGGGUUUCAGUAAGGACAUGAGACAGUGUCUGUGAAAGUACCUGAUAGAUGUCUAUACAGCACCAUGCAAAUGUGAGGCGCUGCUGAUGGAAGCCAAAUAAGGCAGGAAGGCAGGAGGAGAGAGGGGGAAGUGGAUGGAUCAGCGUCUGGAGCUGGUCACUAUGCACAGAAUGAAGUACAGACCGUGUCUGUAAUCCAACAGUAAGAUUCAAGCACUGAAGACAGAGUAGAGUGUUCUGGAAAGCAUGUGGGCUUUGGAUUUGGCCAGGCUUGGGUUCAAACCCUAUCUUCACCUCUGACUAGCUCUGUGGCUUUGAGCAAAUUACCUAACCUCUCUGAGCCCUCGUUACUUUAUCUAUAGUAUAAAGAUAAUAUCCCCUCCCUUACAGUGUUUUUAUGAGAAUUAAAUGAGUUAACACUUAGAAGCUGGGUAGUACAUAGCUACCUGACAUUUGAAAAUGUUGGUUUCCUUCUUUCUUUCUUCCUGAGAAGUGAUAUAGUUUCAAAAGAAGCUUUUAUGAGAGCUGCUUUCAGAAAGGAAAAUACGCUGGCCUGAAUUUUCAUCCUCUCCCUUUUAGUGCCAGGAGUGGUUAACUAUCAAACAGUGAAAUCUCCAGAUGGCCCAAGGGCCUAGAUUAUUCAGAAACAUGUGAACGGCUGAUGAGAGCACAGCGUGAGUCAAAAGAAUAAUGGACUCCAGUAAAUCAAGUGUCUUCAUGUGUUUCUUAAAAUACAUAUGUGUAAACCCCAAAUCUCAGUGAUUUCUGGCAUGGUUGUUAUCUGUAACAUUUGUUCGUUGUUCCAUAGAAGAUCUGGCAAAGUUAGCUUUUGGAAGGGGUUUGGUCAAAUCUCUUGAGUCCUCAGGACCCCAGACAGUCUGCCAAAGUGAUGGGAUGUAAAUAAUUCUCCAUAAUGUUAGUAGUGCAUUCACUACUUAAAAUACGCAAGUAUUAGGUAUUAAAUGAACCAUGCUGCAUCUUAAAGUGAAGCUGUGUUUUGUGCUGUAGAGGAGGUUUUUACUCAAUUCUACAAAUCGCUAAAGAUGGGGGAUUAAUAGCAAGUGAGAAAUUGCUUUUAUUCCUCUUACUUGAAUAGCACUGCAUUCUGCACAUUAAGGCUUCAACGUAGAGGACUUGAGAUGCAGAAAGAGAACCCCUAGAGGUACAGAGAGGAGAAGGGAAAGGAGGAGAGAUGGAAGGCAAGGCGAGGGAAUGGAGAAAGUUGCUUUCUUCAUGGUCCAGUUCCCAGCCUGGUUCUCUUCUGGUGGUAAUUGGGCAGUAGAGGAGAGAAGACAGACAAAAAGGGGGACAAAGAAGAAAGGGGAAGGAAGGUUAGAAAAGAACAGGAGAAAUCUGGAAGGCAGAAAAAAGAAAUGUAGUAGACCAUUAGGAAGCAUGCGUGUCAAAUUGAUGCUAGACUCACAGUGAAGCUUAAUAAGCUUCAGAAACGUUUUGACCCCCGUGUGUGCCAGACGCUGUGCUAGGAGCUAGGAAUACAGAUGGAGACGUGGUCAUCAUUGCUGAGGCGCUCACAGGAAAGAAUCGAGGUUGGGAAGAAGCCAAGAGAAGGCCAGGGGAACUUGGCAUUGCACCGACUAUGAGGAGGCUCAAAAGGGGUCAAGUGCUUUCUCCCGAAGCACUUUUGGUGAUGAAUUCCCUUUCAUCUAAUGUGGUUUUCUAUUGACAUUAGCUUUCAGACUUUUCCCAAAAAGUACCUAAGCAUACCGCUUAGCAGAGAGGCUGGGCGAGAAGAGGGGGAGCUGAGACUGCAUCUCAGCUAGUUUCAUUCCCCUGUCCAAACAGAUGUUGUCUGGCGAGAGCAGCACAGCGUCAAACAUGACUACUGGAUUUGGCAUAAAAUGGACCAAUUAACCUUUGUUGAUUGAGUCCUGUAAAAGUAACAGGGCUGCACUUCCACUGGAUGCUGUUUAAAGAAGGACAGUGUCAGCCAAAUGGCUCAUCACCUGUCAUGGCCGUCAGCAUAUUCCCGGCAGCUGCACAGCCUCACGCCACCCGAGACUCACUGUCCCCUCUCUCGGCCUGGAGCCCUGAAGGCUUGUGCUGGGCUCUUAAUAGGCUUCAGACAUGAAAUUCAAGAUGAACCUGACUCAGCUGCUCCAAGAGUGUCUGCCUCGGGUCUGGAAUAAUAAGAAUAAAAGUUCAAUUUCCUCCUCCUCCUGCCGCAUCACUUACCAAACUUUGGGAAUCUCUCUUUCACUUUGGAUCACUCAAAAAAGUACCUUUCCACUUAUUCAGCACCCUCUCUUUACGCUGGUGACAGGCGCAGGGCUUCCACAUUCUGUAGACCUAGGGCCGUGGUUCUCUAACGUUCCUGAGAAAUUUCCAGAAAGCUAGUUAAAAACUCAGGCAGGUGGGCCCCGCCACUUAGGAUUCUCAUUAAAUAAAUUUGGAAGAGUGUAGCCUGAAAAUCAACGGGUUGGCUCCACCCCACUCCGCCCCCCCAGGUGAUUCUGACACAGACGGUGGAUGAGCAAAGCCCUCCCUGGAAACACGAGAGCACGGCUGGCAUGUACAGCUCAGGAGAGAGCUGGGUGGGGACUUGAUACCCGCAUCCUGCCUUUCUCCUGGCUUAUCUGACCCGUCUCUCUGCAUUGGCUCCUUUUCCUGUACCCAGGAGGAUCCCAGGGUUUUAUUCUCUGUCCAUUUAUUUUAUUCUAUACACCCUCCAUGACCGGAAUGAUUGGAAGCACCUAUAUAGUUUUAAGAUGUUGCUUAAAAGCUCCAGACAGAUAUGUCCACCUGGAAAUAUCCCACAAGUACCUCAGCUUAACAUGCUCAGGACCUAAAUCAUGAGUUUUAAUCCUAGGUAGGAUGAAUAGGCACACCCCAUCCCCAAUUCUCUCACUGAAUGGAGCUCUAAAACCUGGAUCAGCUAUUUGAGGACUUGGAAAAGUAGCAGGUAGACUGGGAGAGAAGACUAGAGUUCAGAAUAUGGACCACUGAACUGGUGGUGCAUUUCCCAUCUUUCCUCCUGGGCCCCCCAACCUGGAUGCAAGAUACAGCCUGAAACCUAGAAGUGGGAACCAGAUGAACGGAAGCUUGCACCUUGGCCCUGGCAUGGAGAUUGGAAAGGGACCUCCUGGGAGAACAUCCACGGUUUAUCUCCUCCCUGUUCCCUGGCACUCGGCCCCAAGCUAUCCCCCCACAGAGGCAGCAGUGAGAACUGUGUUGGCAGGUCCUAUGGGGGUGAACACUUUUAUUUCUGUGACUUGCUUUUAUUUUCCUAGUGGUGUUGUUUGAAGGAUAGAUGUUCGUUUUGACAAAGUCCUAUAUGUCUUUUAUAUUUACCCCAACACUUAAUUAUUUUUAAAGUUCUUCAUUUCUUCCUGUACCUCUGAAUUUCCAUCUGGUAUUAUUUUUCUUCAGCCUGAAGAACGUAUUUGAGAAUUUCUUAUAUUGUGUGUUUACUGGCAACAAAUUCUUCCAGCUUUUCUGUUUCUAAAAGUCUCUGUGUUUAUUUAAC